CCCUGAUAUAAAUGUACCACACAUCUACUUGCAAUGAACACCCUGUGUCAUGAAGACCUUUUUCCAUCCCAACAGGAUGAGUCCACUGACAUAAGCGUGACAAAAUUACUUGGUGCCGCAAUAAAUUAUUACAGCAUAAAAAUUGAAUUUAAUUCCAACUAUCUCCGGAGACGCAAUUACUAUCGCAGAAGCUGUUAAACUGGAGCUGCAUAACUUACAUCUAAGUAUAUCAAAUAUGAUUGGGAUUGGCACCGACAAUAGAAGCGUCAUGACAUGGCCAAAAAGAGCGUGUACAUAAAAUUAAAAAAGAGUGUACCCUCUCUAAUAUUGUUGUGUUUGUUCGAGGCAAUAAAAAUUGUUAAAUCUAUUCGCGGGAAAUAUAUGAUAUGUUCAGACUCUCUAUCCUCUAUUCAAGCCAUAUCAAUCCCCGAUAUUUUCAACUAUUAUGAAUCCAAAAUUAGAUCCCUUCUAAUGUAACUAUAAACAAAAAUAAAACUACUCUG
Drosophila miranda is the source of this 503-nucleotide long non-coding RNA. RefSeq lists it as uncharacterized. The record is from RefSeq and is a predicted model, not a curated record. Lineage: Eukaryota; Metazoa; Arthropoda; Insecta; Diptera; Drosophilidae. The transcript has 2 exons.